GAAACCAGUAAUAGAUAAAGAUAUAUGAAGUAGUUAUACUUUUACAUAAUGUGAUUUGGUUAUAUGUUAAAGUAUUUCAUUUGAGACAUUCACAUGAUUUAUCUGUGACAUUUAGUAAUGCAUCAUUAGUUACGUCAGAAAAUGGGCUGAUAAAUGUUCCCAGAUUCACCAACAUGUGUAGUUUUAUACAGAGCCUUCACCGUGUGCUGCCACUUUGCAUCAGCAGUCAGAAAGGAGACUCUCUGGGGGGCAGUUUGAUAGUGGUGAUGCUGCACAACUCUGGUUUAUUCUCUCUUCCCUCUCUCUCUUCUCUCUCCUCUUGCUCUCUUCAUCUGAACCCUUUCUCUCUAUCUCUCUAUUCCCGCUCUUCCCUCUUCCUCUUCCCUCUCUCUCACUAUUCCCUCUUUCCUCUCUCUCACUUUUCUUUCUUCCCUCUUCCCUCUCUCUUCCCUAUUCCCUCUCUCUCACUCUUUCCCUCUUCCCUCUCUCUUCCCUCUCUCUCACUCUUUCCCUCUCUCCUCUCUCUUCCCUCUUCCCUCUCUCUUCCCUCUUCCCUCUCUCUUCCCUCUUCCCUCUCUCUCACUCUUUCCCUCUUCCCUCACUCUUCCCUCUUCCCUCUCUCUUCCCUCUUCCCUCUCUCUCUCUUUCCCUCUUCCCUCUCUCUCUCUCUUUCCCUCUUCCCUCUCUCUCACUCUUCCCUCUCACUAUUUCCCUCUUCCCUCUCUCUUCCCUCUUCCCUUUCUCUCACUCUUCCCUCUUCCUUCCCUCUUCCCUCUUCCCUCUCUACCCUCUUCCCUCUCUCUCACUCUUCCCUCUUCCCCACUCUUCCCUCUUUUCUCUCUCUUCCCUCUUUCCUCUCUCUUCCCUCUUCCCUUUCUCACUCUUUCCCUUUCUCACUCUUUCCCUCUCUCACUCUUUCCCUCUUCUCUCUCACUCUUUUCCUCUCUCACUCUUUCCCUCUUCCCUCUUCCCUCUUCCCUCUCUCCCUCUUCCCUCUUCCCUCUCUCACUCUUUCCCUCUUCCCUCUUCCCUCUCUCACUCUUUCCCUCUUCCCUCUCUCACUCUUUCCAUCUUCCCUCUUCCCUCUCACUCUUCCCUCUCACUCUUUCCCUCUUCACUCUUUCCCUCUUCCCUCUCACUCUUCCCUCUCACUCUUUCCCUCUUCCCUCUCACUCUUUCCCUCUUCCCUCUCACUCUUUCCCUCUUCCCUCUUUCCCUCUUCCCUCUUCCCUCUCACUCUUCCCUCUCACUCUUUCCCUCUUUCAUCUCUCACUCUUUCCCUCUUCCCUCUUCCCUCUCACUCUUUCCCUCUUCCCUCUCUCACUCUCUCUCACUCUUUCCCUCUUCCCUCACUCUUCCCUCUUCCCUCUCUCUUCCCUCUUCCCUCUCUCUCUCUUUCCCUCUUCCCUCUCUCUCUCUCUUUCCCUCUUCCCUCUCUCUCACUCUUCCCUCUCACUAUUUCCCUCUUCCCUCUCUCUUCCCUCUUCCCUUUCUCUCACUCUUCCCUCUUCCUUCCCUCUUCCCUCUUCCCUCUCUACCCUCUUCCCUCUCUCUCACUCUUCCCUCUUCCCCACUCUUCCCUCUUUCCUCUCUCUUCCCUCUUUCCUCUCUCUUCCCUCUUCCCUUUCUCACUCUUUCCCUCUCUCACUCUUUCCCUCUUCUCUCUCACUCUUUUCCUCUCUCACUCUUUCCCUCUUCCCUAUCUCACUCUUUCCCUCUUCCCUCUUCCCUCUCUCACUCUUUCCCUCUUCCCUCUUCCCUCUCUCACUCUUUCCCUCUUCCCUCUUCCCUCUCUCACUCUUUCCCUCUUCCCUCUCUCACUCUUUCCAUCUUCCCUCUUCCCUCUCACUCUUCCCUCUCACUCUUCCCUCUCACUCUUUCCCUCUUCACUCUUUCCCUCUUCCCUCUCACUCUUCCCUCUCACUCUUUCCCUCUUCCCUCUCACUCUUUCCCUCUUUCCCUCUUCCCUCUUUCACUCUUCCCUCUCACUCUUUCCCUCUUUCAUCUCUCACUCUUUCCCUCUUCCCUCUUCCCUCUCACUCUUUCCCUCUUCCCUCUCUCACUCUUUCCCCUUCCCUCUUCCCUCUCACUCUUCCCUCUCACUCUUUCACUCUUCCCUCUCACUCUUUCCCUCUUCCCUCUCACUCUUUCCCUCUUCCCCUCUUUCACUCUUUCCUUCUUCCCUCUCUCACUCUUUCCCUCUUCCCUCUCACUCUUCCCUCUCACUCUUUCCCUCUUCCCUCUCACUCUUUCCCUCUUCCCCUCUUUCACUCUUUCCUUCUUCCCUCUCUCACUCUUUCCCUCUUCCCUCUCACUCUUUCCCUCUUCCCUCUUCCCUCUUUCCCUCUUCCCUCUCUCACUCUUUCCCUCUUCCCUCUCACUCUUUCCCUCUUCCCUCUCACUCUUUCCCUCUUCCCUCUCACUCUUUCCCUCUUCCCUCUCACUCUUUCCCUCUUCCCUCUUUCACUCUUUCCCUCUUCCCUCUCUCACUCUUUCCCUCUUCCCUCUCUCACUCUUUCCCUCUUCCCUCACUCUUCACUCUUCCCUCUCUCUUACCUCUCUCUUCCCUCUUCCUUCCCUCUCUCUUCCCUCUUCCCUCUCUUCCCUCUCUCUUCUUCCCUCUCCCCCACUCUUCCCUCACUCUUCCCUCUCUUUUCCCUCUUCCUUCUCUCUCUCUCUCUCUCUCCCCCUUGUGUCUCUCUUCCCUCUCCUCUCUCUCUCCCACCCCUUCCCUCUCUCAUCUCUCUCUCGUCCCUCUCUCUCUCUCUCUCUCUCCUCUCUCUCCCCCUUGUGUCUCUCUUCCCUCUCCUCUAUCUCUCCCACCCCUUCCCUCUCUCAUCUCUCUCUCGUCCCUCUCUCUCCUCUCUCUUCCCUCUCUCCCCCUCCCCCCUACCCUCUCUCUCUCUCUCCAGGACUUUACACAGCAGGAGACUAUUAUAGUUUUCAAUGCUCUUCCCUUUGAGGUUCAGCGUGGCUGGACUAUCAUUGCCCUGCCAGACAUAUUUGGGUUGACAUUUUAGUUAAAGGGAGGUUUCUUGACAGUUUAUUGUGUCUUGUUAUUUGAACUGUAUUGAUGUGGUACUAAUGACAUGUGGCCCAGAAGAUUGUGGACAUUUUAAGGCCUUUGUUUGUCUAUGACCCCCCACCAUUCAUACCCUCUGCACUCCUCCACUGGGAGGUAAUACAGAUUACUGCAAAUCCUCUCAUGUUGAUGAAUGGGUUCUUUCUUGUAAAUUGCUUCUAGGAAGUUGUUGUUAAAUUGCUCUGCCAUCAUUAUUUUAUGAGGUAUUAUUGGUGGGGUUCCCUCUGUGCUGUGAUGGGUGUUUUAUAUGGUGAGUUAUCUUUUCUCUCCACUGGCUAUCUGGCUAACAGGCUACACUCUAGACAGUCUCUUCUGCUGAUGUGUGUGUGUCUGGUAGUGGGUCUCUCUCUAUCCUACUCUUUUCCUUUCUGCAGGGUUAAUACCUGCCUGGCGCCCCAACAAAUCUUUACCUUUACCCCUCUCUAACAAUACUGCUACAAGAUUUGCCAACACAAAGUUUUAAAUGUCAAAUGUUUCUACAAGACAAUAACAA
Molecule: long non-coding RNA, 3575 nt
Filed under: Oncorhynchus mykiss (rainbow trout)
Lineage: Eukaryota; Metazoa; Chordata; Actinopteri; Salmoniformes; Salmonidae
Description: lncRNA (ENSOMYG00000057531.1)
Source: RNAcentral